GAGUGGCGAACGGGUGAGUAACACGUGGGUAAUCUGCCCUGCACUCUGGGAUAAGCCUUGGAAACGGGGUCUAAUACCGGAUAUCACUACUUCAGGCAUCUGGGGUGGUUGAAAGUUCUGGCGGUGCAGGAUGAACCCGCGGCCUAUCAGCUUGUUGGUGGGGUAGUGGCCUACCAAGGCGACGACGGGUAGCCGGCCUGAGAGGGUGACCGGCCACACUGGGACUGAGACACGGCCCAGACUCCUACGGGAGGCAGCAGUGGGGAAUAUUGCACAAUGGGCGAAAGCCUGAUGCAGCGACGCCGCGUGAGGGAUGACGGCCUUCGGGUUGUAAACCUCUUUCGCCAGGGACGAAGCGCAAGUGACGGUACCUGGAUAAGAAGCACCGGCUAACUACGUGCCAGCAGCCGCGGUAAUACGUAGGGUGCGAGCGUUGUCCGGAUUUAUUGGGCGUAAAGAGCUCGUAGGCGGUUUGUCGCGUCGGCCGUGAAAACUCAACGCUUAACGUUGAGCUUGCNGGUCGAUACGGGCAGACUUGAGUUCGGUAGGGGAGACUGGAAUUCCU
RNAcentral lists this ribosomal RNA (565 nucleotides) under Amycolatopsis sp. 415B02. RNAcentral describes it as "bacterial SSU rRNA". It matches the Rfam family "Bacterial small subunit ribosomal RNA", at positions 93 to 671 of the family's 1533-position model. Lineage: Bacteria; Bacillati; Actinomycetota; Actinomycetes; Pseudonocardiales; Pseudonocardiaceae. The record is from RNAcentral.